RNAcentral lists this ribosomal RNA (301 nucleotides) under uncultured bacterium. Its description in RNAcentral is "partial 16S ribosomal RNA". It matches the Rfam family "Bacterial small subunit ribosomal RNA", at positions 509 to 809 of the family's 1533-position model. The record is from RNAcentral.
CAGUCGCCACGGGAAUACGUAGGGUGCAAGCGUUAAUCGGAAUUACUGGGCGUAAAGCGUGCGCAGGCGGUUAUAUAAGACAGAUGUGAAAUCCCCGGGCUCAACCUGGGAACUGCAUUUGUGACUGUAUAGCUAGAGUACGGCAGAGGGGGAUGGAAUUCCGCGUGUAGCAGUGAAAUGCGUAGAUAUGCGGAGGAACACCGAUGGCGAAGGCAAUCCCCUGGGCAUGUACUGACGCUCAUGCACGAAAGCGUGGGGAGCAAACAGGAUUAGAUACCCGAGUAGUCCCUGUCUCUUAUAA